GACGAACGCUGGCGACGUGCUUAACACAUGCAAGUCGAACGGAAAGGCCCUGCUUUUGUGGGGUGCUCGAGUGGCGAACGGGUGAGUAACACGUGAGUAACCUGCCCUUGACUUUGGGAUAACUUCAGGAAACUGGGGCUAAUACCGGAUAGGAGCUCCUGCUGCAUGGUGGGGGUUGGAAAGUUUCGGCGGUUGGGGAUGGACUCGCGGCUUAUCAGCUUGUUGGUGGGGUAGUGGCUUACCAAGGCUUUGACGGGUAGCCGGCCUGAGAGGGUGACCGGCCACAUUGGGAAUGAGAUACGGCCCAGACUCCUACGGGAGGCAGCAGUGGGGAAUAUUGCACAAUGGGCGGAAGCCUGAUGCAGCAACGCCGCGUGCGGGAUGACGGCCUUCGGGUUGUAAACCGCUUUCGCCUGUGACGAAGCGUGAGUGACGGUAAUGGGUAAAGAAGCACCGGCUAACUACGUG
This 468-nucleotide ribosomal RNA is filed under the name uncultured bacterium. Its description in RNAcentral is "partial 16S ribosomal RNA". It matches the Rfam family "Bacterial small subunit ribosomal RNA", at positions 28 to 507 of the family's 1533-position model. The record is from RNAcentral.